GUAGACACCGCGCCACCCGCUCCGGGACGCCGCCCAGCGACAAGGCCGCGGGGUCAGCGUGUCUGUACCGGUGCUGCAACGGGAGGGUCGGGCGGCGACGCUCUCACUGCCGGGCCAGAAGGAGGCCUCCCGGCUCCCUCACGCUAGAAGGGAGCUGGUUACCAGAGGUUUUCAGAGACGCCAAAGUUUUGCCAGGCCAAGGGAUCCUCCCAUCUCAGCCUCCCAAGUAGCUGGGAAUACAGGCACAUGCCACCAUGCCGGGCUAAUUUGUAAAUUUUUUGUAGAGAUGGGAUCUCCCUGUGUUGACCAGGCUGGUCUCAAACUGCUGAGUCCAAGCAGUCCUCCUGCCUCGGCCUCCCAAAGUGCUGGGAUUCCAGGCAUGAGCCCCUGCACCCUAUCCUUAAAUUCUUUUUUCAUGGUUUUAUUCAUCAUCCCAAGCUGUCUGGGCUCAAGGCGUUAGUAUCCCAUGCAAUGAGGGCCUAGAAGUUUCGUCUCCUGACAUCCUCCCCAGGCAGUCCCAUCGCUGGGUUUCAGAGGCCAUCAAGCCCAGCAGGCUUCAAAUCCCCCAACAGAGUCCCCCUUACCUGGGGCUGCCUGGGGAACUCCCAUCCCACUUCAACUUGAGCACCUUUGCCUUUGUAUUUUUAUUUAUUUACAUUUCCUGGUAAGAAUUUGUUGCAAGCACAUGAAAGAUUUUGUGGCUGAAGUAAUGUAAAACCAUUGAUCAAACCGGAAAUUGAGACACAGCCAGCGUCACACAACAGGCCAUCUGAAAGGCUGGAAUAGCAUCGAGGGAGUCUCCCUGGAACCAAGCAGCCAAGGCAGGCUAAUGGUGAAGGCCCAGGCACAGUAAUGGUCCCCUGGAGAUGGAGUCCUGCUCUGUCAUCCAUGCUGGAGUGCAGUGGCGUGAUCUCAGCUCACUGCAACCUCCGCCUCCUGGGUUCAAGUGAUUCUCCUGCCUCAGCCUCCCAAGUAGCUGGGAUUACAAGUGUGCACCAUCACACCCUGCUGAUUUUUGUAUUUUUAGUAGAGACAGGGUUUCACCAUGUUGGCCAGGCUGUUCUUGAACUCCUGGCCUAAAGCGAUCCACCCGCCUUGGCCUCCCAAAGUCCUGGGAUUACAGGCGUGAGCCACCGUACCUGACCCCUGUCCCUGAACAUUUGUCACAAUAUAUUAUGAGUGAAUGAGUAAGAACUCUAUUUUAGUGGUCACCUUCUUUGUGCUAGUCAUUAAGUUUAAGGUAUCUCGCUUAAUAUUCUCCAGAACCCUGUGAGAUAGGCAUUAUUUUAUUCUCAUGUGACAUGUAGAGAAACAGGUUCAGAAAGGGGAAGCGAAAGUCCAAAGCAGUGAAUCUGCGGUGGGUCUCCUGGCCCCAGAAUUGCAGCCUGAUGGGAAGGAAGGCCCUGCUGAGUUCCCAGAGUUAUGGCUGGGUCAUGGCAUUGGGACCCACACUGGCAGCUCCAGUUACACAGGGCUGGGCUGGCUCUAGCAGCCUUGUCUUACUUGCUCCCUGAACUGCUGCAUUGACCUGCACCAUCCUCCCUUCCCUUGCCAGCCGAGAACUGUGCUCCUCAGGUUUCCUGGGCAGGGUCCAGGGCUCUGAUGCCAAACGCAGCCUGGAAACUCUAGCUCUCAGCAUGCCAGGAUGCGGGCACCCAAGUGAGGCCGCCUGGGAUGCAGGAAGCUUAGUCCAGGCCUGGGCAUGCCUCUGUUCCAUCUCCCCUCAAGCAGGACCAGCUACUUAAUCUGCGGGACCCAGAGCAGAAUGAAAAUGUGGGCCCCUCAUUCAAAAAUUUAAAAUUUCCAACAAAAGAAUGAAAAAAUAAGAAAAAAUUAAGAAUUUCAAGAUGGUGAUAGCAGAGUAUUUAACACUUCAAAUCAUGACCCUUACUGUCCAGGUCACAUGCCCACAAAGUCAGCCCUGUCGUCAGGCCUUGGUUUCCUUGUCUGUCAAGUGGGAGAAUGGUAGCCACUGGCCAAAAGGGUGAGGGUGAGAAUGAGGUGGGAGCUGGUGGUAAGAGGUCCAGUGAACAGCAUGAGGAUGAGGUAAGAGUCUCCAAGUUCAUGAUUUGUUAUCUGGGUCUCAGCACCGGGUGGCAGGCCAAACUCCUUGCCAGGAGUUUGAUUGCUUACAACAGCUCUUUUUCACAGAACCAAAAAACUAAAAAUCCAUGAAGCAAAGUAACUUGCUCAGGGUCACACAGAGACUCAGUGGGGGAAGCCAAGAUCAGAGUUCUGGCCUGGCUCUCUUCGAAGCUGGUGCUUUUUGUGACCCAGGCAGGAGAGAGAGAAGCGCAGGAGGGAGGUGGGAUGGGGACAGGCUGCUCAGGACAAAGAGGGCCACUGUGCAGACACAAAGACCUGACCACAGAGGCCCCUCUGGGGGCUGGGACAGACAAAUGGAUGGAGCCCUGUGACUCUAUCUGUGGUGACUGGGGUAGCUGCCAGGAGCUGCCUCCUAGACCCUACCUGGUUGUGAUGAGGGUUGGGGAGGGUGUUGGUGUGCAGGAACCAGGAAAUGGGUCAGGGAGGAGAAACAAACUCAGAGAUGGGCCCCUUCCCCACUCCCCAGGCCUCUGACCCCAUCUCCCCCUAGCUCCUCCUGGGCAGCCUGCCAGCUUAUGGAAUCUCCCACAAACCAUCCACCGCCCCACAUUCCUCCUUCUCAGUGAGGGUGAGGCUCAGGCAACUCACUGUCUGGCAGUCCCAGCCUCACAAUACUUCUGACCCUUCCCCAUCACCAGUGGCAGGAUGAAGCAUAUGCCCUCGGCGCAGUGUCCUUCAGGGCCCUGUGUGACCUGCCCUGCUGACCUUUCUUCACUCACCUGUCCCCACUCCUCCUCAGCCUUCUACGCUGCAGUCACAUGGAACGUCCCACCAUUCUCCAAACACUCUGUCCUUUCAUACACACACCCCCAUGUUGGCUCAUGCUUUUCCUUCUUCCUGGGGGGCUGUUUCCCCUGCUCCAGUAGACUGAAAUCCCAUUUCUCCUCCAUGAACCAGCUCAAAUGCCACCUCCAGUAGCCAGCUUUCCUCCAUGCCCACAGUUGGGUUUAGCUUCGCUCAUUAACCUGUUAAUCUACACAUGUUGGGUUCACCCACUCUAGCGGUGCUCCUCCCACGCUGGCUUGUGUUGUAGUUGUUCCAAUCCACAAAGCCUACCUGGAAGAGGGGACCUUUGAGCUGAGCCUUACAGGACAGGUGGACUUCACUAGUGAAUGUCAGUGGUAAGAAGUGACAGGAGCUCAAAGAAUCAGGGAUAUCAGCCCUAUCUCCAAAAUUUUAUCUGCAUCAGCCAGGUUGCUGAGUUCAAAUAGCAAGGAGUCUAUAGUUCAGAAUGGCAGGAGUUGAGUGUGCAGGGACACUGUCAAGGGAUAAAGUUAAGAGGUUCACCAGGGCCAAGCCACGAAGGGUUUUAUAAUGCCAUACUAAGGAAUUUUUUUGCUUGCUUGUUUAAAACACAUUUGAAUUUAUUUCUCAGCUCUAUAGUUUACUAAGUAAUUAAGUUCUGGCUUUUAUCUUUACUAUUUUCUCCCUCUUAAUUACCUUGGGUAGCUUUUCUGUUCUUUUUCUACAAGCUUAUUAAAGUGAAUACUUAGGCUGGGUGCGGUGGCUCAUGCCUGUAAUCCUAGCACUUUGGGAGGCCGAGGUGGGUGGAUCACUUGAGGCCAGGAGUUUGACUGGCCUGGCCAACAUGAUGAAACCCCGUCCCUACUAAAAAUACAAAAAUUAGCCGGUCAUGGUGGCACACGCUUGUAAUUCCAGCUACUCGGGAGGCUGAGGCGUGAAAAUCACUUGAACCCAGGAGUUGGAGGUUGCAGUGAGCCAAGAUCAUGCCGCUGUACUCCAGCCUGAGUGACAGAGCAAGACUCUGUCUCAAAAUAAAUAAAUAAAUAAAUAAAUAAAUGUGAAUACCUAUUUUGUUGUCAUUCUUUUUCAAUAAUGUAAGCAUUUUUAAGGCUAUCAUUUCCCUCUGAAUUCAGCU
RNAcentral lists this long non-coding RNA (3985 nucleotides) under Homo sapiens (human). RNAcentral's name for it is "non-protein coding lnc-FCHSD2-2:6". Lineage: Eukaryota; Metazoa; Chordata; Mammalia; Primates; Hominidae. The record is from RNAcentral.